CCAACCGAUAGCAUACCUUUAACUUCUGACGAUGUAUCGGUAGCGGUGGAGGCGUCGAGAUCGAAAGACGUGGCAGCGAUUAACAAAGGACGGUGUAUCGGUGGCGGUGGAGGCGUCGAGAUCGGAACAAACGACGGUGUAUCGGUGGCGGUGGAGGCGUCGAGAUCAGAAGACGUGGCAGCGAAGCAAUAGAGGAAGAUAAAGAGAAGAAGCAUAACAAGCAGCCGAGAGUUUGAAAAAUGUAUGAAGAUGAUGAUCUUGAUCAGGAUAAAGGUUGAAGAUGAUGAUCUUCAUCAGAGAUGAAGAUAUGAAGAGAGAGAAAUGUAAGGAAUCCGGAUCGUCAAGUGGACAAGCCGAUGGAGAUACGCGUUUGAAGAGGGUGCUAUAAAGGUGAUAUUGGAGACAUUCCGGAUGGCGAUCAAGCAUGUUUGAAGAACCGAACACGAACUUUUGAAGCUUCCGUAAUUAUCUAGUUUUGUUUUGGAAAAAGUGGAAUAUGUAGACUUUUCGAACUAUGUUUUAGAAUGUUGUGAACAUGUGUAAACACUCAAGAAGUAAAAGUUUUUGAUAAGUGGCAUU
This 579-nucleotide long non-coding RNA is filed under the name Helianthus annuus (common sunflower). Its description in RNAcentral is "hypothetical non coding rna". Lineage: Eukaryota; Viridiplantae; Streptophyta; Magnoliopsida; Asterales; Asteraceae. The record is from RNAcentral.